This 101-nucleotide microRNA precursor is filed under the name Marmota monax (woodchuck). The record is from RNAcentral. Lineage: Eukaryota; Metazoa; Chordata; Mammalia; Rodentia; Sciuridae.
GAUGGGAUAGCUGGGUCAAAUGGUGGUUCCAUUCCAUUUUCUAAGGAAUCUCUAUACUAAUUUCCAUAGUGGUUGCACCAAUUUGUAGUGCCACCAGCAAU